Non-coding RNA from Zopfochytrium polystomum, 72 nucleotides. The record is from the annotation of a GenBank genome assembly. Lineage: Eukaryota; Fungi; Chytridiomycota; Chytridiomycetes; Chytridiales; Chytridiaceae.
GCCCGUUUAGCAAAGUGGUAUUGUGUCCCUCUCCAAAGGGAGAGAUUGCGGGUUCAAUCCCCACCAUGGGCU